Hibiscus syriacus is the source of this 299-nucleotide long non-coding RNA. RefSeq lists it as uncharacterized. The record is from RefSeq and is a predicted model, not a curated record. NCBI's taxonomy places the organism in Eukaryota, Viridiplantae, Streptophyta, Magnoliopsida, Malvales, Malvaceae. The transcript is spliced from 3 exons.
UAUUUUCAACAGCGUCAUGACUUACUUAAGUUGUAUAAUGAGAUUGAUGUUCCUCCUGAGCGUUUACUGUUUAAAAUUCCUUCAACUUGGCAAGGAAUAGAAGCCUCGAAAUUGCUUGAAUCUGAGGGUAUAGAAAUACAUUUGACUUUUGUUUAUAGCUUUGCUCAAGCUGCAGCUGCAGCCCAAGCUGGUGCUUCUGUUAUCCAGAUUUUUUGUCGGCUGUGUUAGGGUAAACUUUUUUUUCUGAAAACCUUUGUUGACUUUCGUCUGCAAACCUCGAUCUUUUAUCAUCCUUGAAA